RNAcentral lists this unclassified non-coding RNA (420 nucleotides) under Hevea brasiliensis (rubber tree). The record is from RNAcentral. Lineage: Eukaryota; Viridiplantae; Streptophyta; Magnoliopsida; Malpighiales; Euphorbiaceae.
AUUUCAGAGAAACAAAAAGGUACAAAAAUCUAAAUAAAAGCACAAUCAUUGAAAUGUUGCAAUGUAUCAGCAAAUUACUAGUCUCAAACAAGGAACCAUUCAGUAUCCACUGUUCUCAUCAAAAUUGCAGUAAAACAAAAGUACUAGUAUUACUAGAAACCAUGUAGACAGAUUCGGAUGAAUCACUUCAAUGGAAUGAACCUUGAAGAGUGAGUAGCACCAAUACCGGGCCUACCGUGCUUGACAGGCUUGUAUGAGAUGGAGAACUCAGCUAAGUAGUGACUAAUCAUCUCAGGCUUGACCUCAAUUUGAUUGAAAGUUUUUCCAUUGUAGAUUCCAAUGACACUUCCAAUCAUCUCAGGAACAAUGAUCAUGUUCCUCAAAUGUGUUCUCACAACCUCUGGCUUCUCACCAGGUGGG